CUUGACAGAAGAUUUAGGGCUUGGAGAUAGUUUAGGUUGGACUGUUAUCAGUAACCAACAAAAGGUAAACUUCAAUCAUUAUCUUAUACAUGAACAUCAUGCUUACCUUUUGAUCAUCAUACUCUUUUAUUAUUGUAUGUUAUAUGUAGGGAUUAAUUCAAUCAAUCAGUGAUCUGCUGCCACAUGCUAAGCACAGGCAUGUGCAAGGUACAUAUA
This 216-nucleotide long non-coding RNA is filed under the name Elaeis guineensis (African oil palm). RNAcentral's name for it is "long non-coding RNA (EGUI_LNC012567)". The record is from RNAcentral. Lineage: Eukaryota; Viridiplantae; Streptophyta; Magnoliopsida; Arecales; Arecaceae.